UCAGAAAAAGGCCAAUUUGGCAUGAAUAGAAAGAGCAAGGAAAAGGUAGGAGCAAAUGUAAUGAACUAGGUAGCUACCGGUCAGAUCAUGGGUAGUCUUAAGGGCUGUAGAAAAAAAAGUGUGUUUUUUCCUAUAUAUUAAAGAAUGUUAUUGGGAAAUUUUAGCAGGGAAGUGGUGUGCUUGGGCUUUCAUGGUGGGAAAUCUGAUAGGAAGCUAUUGCAAUGAUCUGGGUGUGAGAUAUAGUGACCUGGACAAGGUUGAUGGCAAGGAAAUUGCUAAGAGAUGGUUGCAUUUGCUUUGUUUGAAAGAAGAAAUGUGUUACAAGUUUCUAAGACAAUGAUAGAGUGCUGAGAAAGGGAAGACUUAUACAUGAUGUUAAAGAUUUUGACUUGAGUUGGUGAGUGAAUGGCAAUAGUAUUUACUAAGUUCUGUCUGGGGAGGAAGUGAAGUGAGGGUUAAUAAGAGAUCAAAUUAUAUUUUGUAUAUUGUAUUUCUGAAAUAGCUAUGGGAUAGCCAAGUGUAGAUGUUGAGAGGGAAGCUGGACAUGCAAGUUCAGAGGAGUGGAGAGAAUAGGGUCUAUAAAUUUGAGAAUCAUUCGUGUAUAGAUGGUAUUUAAAGUUAUGUUGCUAGGUGAGAUCAGUUAGGGAGUAAGACUAGUGAGAGAUCAGAAAUAUGAAGUAAACUGAACAAAGAAAGAUGAGUAAAAUUCACUUACAAUGUCAGAGGAAAAUAGGAAUCAUACUGUGUUCUGGAAAUGAAGUGUGGAAAAGAUUUCCACCAUGCACAAUGCUCCUGAGAGGUUGAAUAGUAUGGAGCUUUUCAGAACCUUGAACAGAGAAAGAGGGAAGAAGGAAUAAAAUGUUAUCAUUUCUAUUUUAAGUAUCUGCAUUUCAAAUCAAAACGUGAAGGAGCUUUCUCAUGCAAAGAUUAUGUAAAUUCAUGAUAUAAGGAUAUUAUAAUGGAAUUAAAUUGUGUCAGUUUUGUCCAAGGUACCAAAAUGAUACAUGUAUAGCCCACAAUGAGACUUAAGACCCAAAAAACAAAAAUUAAAGAUAGUAGAAAACUGGUUCCAUUUUUAAUCAGUGGCUGGCCACAUACCACCAAUGCCCAACAAAUUUUGGAUAGGCUAAGAACAAAGAGAAAUUCAAAGAGAUUUUUUUGGGUGAAGUGUCAGUACUCCGUGGUUCUCCCUAAUGCAAAAGUCAAGGUGCUUUCCCUUUCUCUCAAUAGCAAAAAAGGCUAUAAAGAGCCAGCUCGCGGAGGUUACCGCAUUCCCUUUCUUUCUCACUACUGCCAUGUCUGACUCAUGCAUGAGAAAUUCAAAAGGCAAGCCCUGGGCUGGCUUUCUGGUAGUGACAGAAAAGGGAUUGCUGUUGCUUCAGAAUCAUCCUACAGUCUCGAAUUCAUUGGGGCAAAGCCAUAUGCUGUUUUUCCUAUACCUGAUAGGAGCCAUGCCAGGGAAAAGCCAGUGUGAGCUUGUGUUGGCUCUUGCCUAAGAGGGUGCAUCAGUUAUGACUUUGUUUUGUAACAAACCAGCCCCACACUCAGUAGCUUAAAACAGAAGAUGCUUAUGAUUUUCAUGGGUCAGCUGCAUGGUCAUUCUGUGGUCAGCUGGCAGCUUGUCUGGAACUGGAUUGUCAUGGAUGGCUUCAUUGGAUGUCUGGCAAUUGAUUGGAUGUCAGCCUGGUGAUGUUGACUGUAAGGGUCUUGUUCAGCUGGACAAUCUGGACCUUUCACAGGGUAGUGUUCACAGGGAGAAUUGAAAAUUUCAAGGAAUAUGUUUUCCUUGUGCCCCUCAAUUGCUUUAAAAAUUUUUAUUUAUGUAGCUGAUGUGUUAAUUGAAAAUCUUAUUCCUAGUUUAUUUUUGUUUAUAUCAUUAUCAGUAACAUUAAUAAUAAUGAAGUUAACACAGACUUUUGACAAUUUUAAUAACUUAUUUUUGGAAUCAAUGAUUGAUAAUUCAAUGUGUCAUAAAUACUUAUGAAAAAUAAAACUAGUCAGUUAAAUUUCAGUUAUUGGAUUUGAUAUAUAUUUAUAAGACCUGUAUAAUUACUUUUAAAUUUAGAUUUCCUAUUUCUUUAUGUGUACUUCUGUGUCUAAACUUAUGGAAAGAAUUUUCCACUAUGUGUCUCUAUUUUUACUCUUGUUUUUCAGUUUUUUUUUGUUUUAAUGAUCUGAAACUUGAUAUAUAUAAAUAUUAUUGAUAAGUGGUUACUGUGAUUUAUUCUCACUUGUUACUGUAAAAUAUAUUUGCUUUUCUUAUUUCAUGGUUAUUGCUUUGAACUCAGACUUAUAUGUCUCUUCUUCCAUGAUCUUAUUUUAACAGCAGAUUUCUCUAAAUUUACUGAAAGUUAAGUAAUUCUUUUUUUAUAGUGCAGACAAAAUUAAGCAAACUUAAACUCAAUGCACUAUUUAUUCAUAGAUCACAAAUUAGAUAUCAAAUUAUAAUGCUCAACUUUCCAAAAUCUCAAGGAAAAUCUCUAAUAUAAUGUUAUUUGUAAAUGGACACUUAAGCAGCUCCUCUUUACUUACCUAAGGAUAUUUUCUUCUUUCACUGAAUGUGACUCUUCAAGACAGAAAUAUGGCCAACAAUUUUCAUAGAAACACAUAAAAUAAUUCAAAUAUUAGAGUACUGACAAGUCAGGAAUAUUUUCCUCCCAUCAAUAAACACUAGUAGACAACUAUUAAUAUGCUAAUUAUAAUCAAUAAUUUUAUUGAACUCUUAUCCACAUUGAGCUAAGCAUUUUUAUGCAUAAUCUACUUUAAUUCUUAAAAAUGUAUGAAGCAAGUUUUUUUUUUAAACAGAUGAGUAAAUUGAAGGUCAGAGAAGUAAAGUGACCCUUCAAGGUCACCUCACUAAUUAGUGAUAGAGGCAAGAUUUGGACCAGGUAAUUUGAUAUACCUUUCCUAGGAAACAAAUUGAAUGAAUAAAGAGAUAUUAGAUUAAUUAGGAAGAAGAUUUACAGAAAACAGUAUAUGACUUGGAUUUUUUUUUUUUUUUAGUAAUUUAGAUAGACAAGUCUUUCAUCUUGAGUUAGGUAGUGAGUUUUAUUUUCUGAGUAUUAUGACUUUACCAAUAAUUUAAUAAUUUUAGAAUUUGGAUUAUAUCCUCUUCUAAAACUAUUUUUUUUCUAGGGGUGAAAAUAAUAAUGAUAAUAAAUUGCAAACCUUUAUUUAUAGUUAAAUUAUGUAAACAUAUAGUUGAAAGCCUGAUUCGAAACUCAAAAGUUUGAGAUUGCUGCUCAGAUCUCCAGGUCAGGAGGUUUUCGUGCUGACUUUGGUUCCCACAAACCACAGAGUGUGUGGCAAGGAGAGCUUUCCUUUCAAAAAGGCUGAACCUAAUGGGAGCCUUCUGCUGUCUGGGUCACCGUUGCCCUCUACAGGUCAUAAGGGUGUUCUACAGCUUUGGGUUGCCACUUGAAAAAAUCCUUUUAGGGGGUUGGGAAUGAAUACAGCUCAGUGGUAGAGUGCUUGCCCAGCAUACGCAAGGCAAAAAAAGAAAAGAAAAACAUUAUUUUAGCACCAAAAGGACUGUGAGUCCUUUGUAAGUAGCUUCUUUAGAGGGUUUUCUCACCAUUAUUGGCAUAAACAAUGGAAAGAUUGAGUUGCAUAGCCUAUGAUAGUCUCAAUUGUAUGUCUACAAUUGGACUGUGUUAGCUAGAUGAUGGUGACCACAUGUCUCCCAGGCUUCAGCAGGCUGGCAUGGGCUGUUCAUGUGGUAAUAGUUACUGAGAGAAUCGAAAUUUUCAAUGCGUAUAUUUUCCUUAUGCUCUUCAAUUGCUUUUUAGAAAUUUUCUUUACAUAGUUGCAAUACUCAUAUAUUUUUACUUUAUAAUUUUUUGUUUUAAUUAGUUAUACGUGACAGUAGAAUGCAUUUGUGCAAUUUGAUAUGUCGUACAUAAGUGGGGUAUAAUUAUUCAUUUUUCUGAUUGUACAUGUUGUAGAAUCACAUUGGUCAUGCCGUCAUACAUGUACAUAAGGUAAUAAUGUCUGUUUCAUUCUGUUAUCCUUCCUAUCCCCAUAUCCCCUCCCCUCCCUUUACUCUCCUCUACCUAAUCUAAAGUAACUCUAUUCUUCCCUAGGGCCCACCCCUUAUUGUGAAUUAGCAUCCACAUAUCAGAAAAAACAUUUGGCCUUUGGUUUUGGAAAAUUGGCUUAUUUUGCUUAGCAUGAUAUUCUUCAACUCCAUCCAUUUAUCGGCAAAUGCCAUGAUUUCAUUCUUCUUUAAAACAGUAAUAUUCCAUUGGGGGAAAUAUAUAUAUUUAUAUCACAUUUUCUUUAUAUAUAUAUAUAUAUAUAUAUAUAUAUAUAUAUAUAUAUAUAUAUCACAUUUAAUAUUCCAUUGGGGGAAAUAUAUAUAUAUCACAUUUUCUUUAUCCAUUCAUCUAUUGAAGGGCACCUAGGUUGGUUCCAUAGUUUAGCUAGUGUGAAUUGUACUGCUAUAAUUGAACUGCGAUUUUGAUGUGGCCGUUUCACUGUAGUAUGCUGAUUUUACUCAGAGUUUAAUGUUUGGAGUUGUUCAAUUACAUCAGGAAGAUUAUUCUUCUUAAAAAGGGAGUGGAGUACCAGAGGUGGAGAUGGCAGGAGUAUUUUCUUUUAAAAUAUAAAUGAUCACCUUGGAGGGCUGGGGUUGUGGCUCAGUGGCAGAGUGCUUGCCUAGCAUGUGUGAGGCACUGGGUUGGAUUCUCAGCACCAUCUAUCAGUAACAUAAAAUAAAGGUCCAUUGACAACUAAAAAUAUAAAAAAUCAAACAAACAAACCAUUUAUUUAUUUAUUUAUUUAAUACCUGGAGAGGCCACAUGACUUAAUGUGGAGUGCUCUCAUCCUUACUUUCUCAGUCACUAGUUCAUGACUCUGAACAUGCUGUGGAAUAUCUCUGAGCCUCAGAGUGGUCACCUGUCAAUCAUAGUAAUACCUUUCUCUUUGGUUAAUUUUGAGGAUCGAAUACAAUAAAUUCUAGAAAGCCAAUGCCAUAUAAUAAACCCUCUAAGGCAAUUAUUAUUAUUACUUGGUCAAUUAAGUUUUAAAGUUGAAAAUGAGGACUGGGGGCUUUAGCUCAGGGACAGAGUGCCUCUUUAACAGGAUGGAGGCCUUGGUUUGAUCCCCAGUGCUACAAACAAUGAAAGCAACAACAACCCCCCAGAACUGUAUGUGAGAACAAAACAAGUUAGGGCAAGGAUGGCAGGGUGGGGAAUUGUGAGAGAAAGUGGGCAUCGUAGAGGAGGGCUCUACUUAGUCCUCAUUUCACAUGUAUGAUUGAAUCUAUCAUGAAAAAGAGUAUAAAAACUUGUUUCAAAUAUAGCAAAAGAAAAGCCACUUAAUUUUUUGCUUCUGUUUUUCUAAACUAAAAACCUAAGUUUGCUGACUUUGCUCGAGGUCAUACUUUAGCUGUUGAUUAGGUUGUUUAUAACUUUGUUCUUGGUAAUAUAAUAACAAACACUGAUUUGGAGCUCCUAACUUUGAUAAAAAGAUAUUCUCUUGUUCUCUUUUCUGUUAUAUAGAGAACAAUAGUGUCCUAAUUUUAUGAGAGAUUUUUUUUUUGUUUUUUUAAGGCUAAAUAAGAAAUUCAUAUAAAAAUAUUUCCAGGCAUGAUUCUAAGUUCUUCAGCCAAAUUAACUUAUUUGACUCUCAAAACAAUCUUCAAGGUAGGAACUAUUAUUUUCCCAAUCUUUCUUCCUUUCUUCCUUCCUACCUUUCUUUUUUUCUACCAGGGAUUGAACCCAGAGGCACUUAACCACUGAGCCACAUCCCCAGGCACCCCCACCCCUCUUUUUUUUUUAAAAAAAAUUUAUUGUGACAAAGGGUCUCAAAAAGUUUCUCAGGGUCUCACUAAGUUGCUGAGGCUGGAUUUAAACUUAUAAUACUCCUGCCUCAGCCUCCCAAGCCACUGGGAUUACAGGUGUGCGCCACCACACCGGGCUAUUUUCCUCAUUUUUCUAAAGAGGAAACUGAAGUACAGAGAAUUCUAAUAAAUUUCCAAAGAUCACACAUUUUGUAAGUAUUGGGCCCAAAUCCAUUUUGGGAAAUCUGGUUCCAAGAUCUAUAUGCUUGUUUCUUUAUUUCACUUUGAGACCUUGUAAAAAAGAUAUUAAUAUCAAUAUUAAUAUUAAUCAGAUCCUUAUGUCUCAAAUUCAGCAAAAAUGCUUCCUAUAUUAACAAAUUAACAAAUGAACAAAGUGGGACCAGGUAGAAAGAUCAAUUGUUUUCUUUCCAAUUCCCUUGCUUUUAGAUCCCUGGUUAGCUGUUAUUGUUAGAGUUCUAGAUAUGGUAAUUUGGGCAAUUUAGACUGAAGCAUGAUAUGACAUUUCUCUUUAUUUAAAUAGAUUUGAUUUCUUUGGUUGCUUAAGAUUUUCUGCAGCUUCAUGCCACCAAGCAUCACUAAUGGCAGUGAUCCCUUCAGUUAUGAUGUUCAAGUCAGAGAUGAGAUUCAACUGAAGUGAUUGUUUUAAAACUGAACCCCAAUUAAACAAAGAUACAAUACUGAAAAAAUACAGGCCUGGGAGUGUAGCUCAAUGGUAGAGCAUGUGUUUACAACGAACAAAGUUCUGGUUUCAAUCCCCAGCAGCAAAACAAACAAACACAUACAAUCUAUAGUAUUUGAGAGAAUACUUUGUAUAUUAAAAAAUACUAUGCAUAUUAAAUGUAUAUUUAAAAAAAUUGUGUCCUGAAUAACCCUUUUCUACAUAAGACUCAUUAUUUCAAAAACCAAAACUUUAUUUUAGGGUUUGUUGUUGUUCGGGUAGCUCUUUUUUUUUAAGUUUUAUAUUUUUAAUUAGUUAUAUAUGACAACAGAAUGCAUUACAAUUUAUAUUACAUAUAUAGAAUCAAAUUUUUCAUAUCUCUGGUUGUACAUAAAGUAGAGUCAUCCUUCAUAUCUUCAUACAUAUACUCAGGGUAAUGACCCUCACAUUCUACAUCUUUCCUACCUCUUUCCUUCCCUUCCCUUCACUUUCCCCCUUUGCCCUAUCUAGAGUUCAUUUAACUCUAGAGUUCAAUUAACUAGAGUUCAUUUAACUCUUCCAUCCCCCUGCCCCCACAGCAUAUUAUGAAUCAGCAUCCUUAAAUCAGAAAAAUCAUUUGACAUUUGGUUUUUUGGGAUUGGCUAAUUUCGCUUAGCAUUAUGUUCUCCAGCUCCAUCCAUUUACCUGCAAAUGUCAUGAUUUUAUUCACUUUUAAUGCUGAGUAAUGUUCCAUUGUGUAUACAUACACCGCAGUUUCUUUAUCCAUUCAUCUACUGAGGGGCAUCUAGGUUGGUUCCACAGUUUAGCUAUUGUGAAUGGUGCUACAACAAACUUGGAUGUGGCUGUGUCCCUGUAGUAUGCUGUUUUUAAGUCCUUUGGGUAUAGACUGAGGAGUAGGAUAGCUGGGUUAAAUGGUGGUUCCAUUCCAAGUUUUCCAAGGAUUCUCGAUACUGCUUUCCAUAUUGGCUGCACCAUUUUGCAGUCCCACCAACAAUGUAUGAGUGUGUCUUUUUCCCCACAUCCUCACCAAAACUUAUUGCUGUUUGUAUUCUUAAUAGCGUCCAUUCUGACUGGAGUGAGAUGAAAUCUUAGAGAAGUUUUGAUUUGCAUUUCUCUAAUUGCUAGAGAUGUUGAACAUUUUUUCAUAUAUUUGUUGAUUGGUUGUAUAUCACCUUCUGAGAAGUAUCUGUUCAGUUCCUUGGCCCAUUUAUUGAUUAGGUUAUUUGUUUUUUUGGAGUUUAGUUUUCUGAGUUCUUUUAUACCAGAGAGAUUAGUGCUCUCUCUGAUAUGCAAGUGGUAAAAAUUUGCUCCCAAGCUGUAGGCUCUCUAUUCACCUCACCAAUUGUUUCUUUUGCUGAGAAGAAGCUUUUUAGUUUGAAUCCAUCCCAUUUAUUAAUUGUUGAUUUUUAAUUCUGGUACUAUAAGAGUCUUGUUAAGGAAGUAGGGGCCUAAUCCGACAUGAUGGAGACUUAGGCCUAGUUUUUCUUCUCUUAGAUGCAGUGUCUCUGGUUUAAUUCCUAGGUCCUUGAUCCACUUUGAGUUGAGUUUUGUUCAUGGUGAGAGAUAGGGGUUUACUUUCAUUUUGUUGAUUUCCAGUUUUCCCAGCACCAGUUUUUAAAGAGGCUACCUUUUCUCCAAUGUACAUUUUUGGCACUUAGUCUAAUAUAAGAUAACUCUAUCUCUGUGUCCUCUAUUCUGUACCAUUGGUCUACUAGUCUGUUUUUGUGCCAAUACCAGCCUAUUUUUGUAGCUAUUGCUCUGUAGUAUAUUUUUAGGUCUGGUAUAGUGAUGUCACCUGCUUCACUCUUCUUGCUAAGGUUUGCAUUAGCUAUUCUGGUUCUCUUAUUUUUCCAGAUGAAUUUCAUGAUUGCUUUUUCUAUUUCUAUGUGGAAUGUGAUUGGGAUUUUGAUUGGAAUUGCAUUGAAUCUGUAUAGUGCUUUUAGUAGUAUGGUCAUUUUGACAAUACUAAUUAUGCCUAUCCAAGAAGAAGGGAGGAGAUCUUUCCAUCUUCUAAGUCUUCUUUAAUUUCUGUCUUUAGCAUUCUGUACUUUUUGUUGUAGAGGUCUUUCUCCUCUUUUGUUUGGUUGAUUCACAAGUUUUUUUUUUUUUUUUUUUGAGGCUUUUGUAGAUGGGAUAGUUUUUCUCAUUUCCCUUUCAGAAGAUUUGUCACAGAUAUACAGAAAUGCCUUUGAUUUAUGGGUGUUGAUUUUGUAUCCUCCUACUUUGGUGAAUUCAUUUACUAGUUGAAGUUUUUGGGUCUUCUAGGUAUUGAAUCAUAUUGUCAGCAAAUAGUCCUAAUUUGAGUUCUAUUUUUACCUAUCCAUAUUUCUUUAAUUUCUUUCAUCUAAUUGCUCUGGCCAGUGUUUCAAGAACUAUGUUAAAUAGAAUUGGUGAAAGAGGGCUUCCCUGUCUUGUUGCACUUUUUAGAGGAAAUGCUUUCAAUUUUUCUCCAUUUAGAAUGAUGUUAGCCUGGAGCUUAGCAUAGAUAGCUCUUACAUUGUUGAGAUAUGUUCCUGUUAUUCCUAGUUUUUCUAGUGUUUUGAACAUAAAGGGGUGCUGUAUUUUGUAGAAUGCUUUUUCUGCAUCUGUUGAGAUGAUCAUAUGGUUCAUAUCUUUAAGUCUAUUGAUGUCAUGAAUUAAAUUUGUUGAUUUCCUUAUGUUGAACCAACAUUGCAUCCCUGGAAUGAAUCCCACUUGAUCGUGGUGUACUAUAAUUUUUGAUAUGUUUUUAGUAUUCUAUUUGCCAGAUUUUUUUUGAUCUGGGCUCAUUAGAGAUAUUGGUCUGAAGUUUUCUUUCUUUGAUGUGUCUUUGCCUGGUUUUGGAAUCAGGGUGAUAUUGGCCUCAUAGAAUGAGUUUGGAAGUGUUCCCUCUUUUUCUAUUUCCUGAAAUAAAUUAAAAAGUAUUGGUAUUAGUUCUUCUUUAAAGAUCUUGUAGAACUUGGCUGUGUAUCCAUCCAGUCCUAGGAUUUUCUUUUUGUUGGUAGGCUUCUGAUGGAGUCUUCUAUUUCAUUGCUUGAAAUUGAUCUGUUUAAAUUGUGUAUAUCAUCCUGAUUCAAUUUGGGCAAAUCAUAUGACUAGAAAUUUGUCGAUGCCUUCAAUAUUUUAAAUUUUAUUGUAGAAUGCUUUUUCUUCAUCUAUUGAGAUGAUCAUAUGGUUCUUUUAGUCUAUUGAUGUGAGAAUUAUAUGUAUUGGUUUCGUCACUGAACCAACAUUGCAUCCCUGGAAUGAACCCUACUUGAUUGUGGUGUACUAUAUUUUAAUAUGUUUUUGUAUUCAAUUUUGCAUUCAAGAUAAUUUCUAAUUAUCUUCUGUAUUUCUAUAGUGUUUAUUGUGAUAUUUCCUUUUUCAUCAUGUUAGUAAUUUGAGUUUUUUCUGUUUGUCUCUUCAUUAGCAUGGCUAAGGGUAUGUCAAUUUUAUUUAUUUUUACAAAGAACCAACUUUUUGUUUUGUCAAUUUUUUCAAUUAUUUCUUUUGUUUCAAUUUCAUCUCUGAUUUUAAUUAUUUACUGUUUUCUACCACUUUUGGUGUAGAUUUGUUCUCCUUUUCCUAGGGUAUUGAGCUGUAAUGUUAAGUCAUUUAUUUGCUGAAUUUUUCUUCUUUUAAGGAAUGAACUCCAUGCAAUGAACUUUCCUCUUAGAACUGCCUUCAUAGCAUCCUAGAGAUUUUGAUAUGUUGUAUCUAUGUUCUCAUUCACCUCUAAAAAUUUUUAAAUCUCCUCCUUGAUGUCUUUUGCUACCCAGUGUUCAUUCAUUAGCAUAUUAUUUAGUCUCCAGGUGUUGGAGUAGCUUUCAUUUCUUAUUUUAUCAUUGACUUCUAAUUUCAUUCCUUAUGAUCUGAUGGAAUGCAGGGAAGUAUCUGUACAUUUUAAUAUUUGCUAAGAGCUGCUUUGUGGCAUAAUAUUAGGUCUAUUUUAGAGAAGGAUCCAUGUUCUGCUUGAGAAGAAAGUUGAAGGAUGAAAUAUUCUAUAUAUGUUAGUUAAGUCUAAGUUAUUGAUUUUAUUAUUAAGUUCUAUAGUUUCUUUGUUCAGCUUUUGUUUGGAAGAUCUAUGUAGUGGUGAAAGAGCUGUGUUAAAGUCACCCAGAAUUAUUGUGUUGUGGUCUAUUUGACUCUUGAACUUGAGAAGAGUUUGUUUGAUGAACAUAGAUUCUUCAUUGUUCAGGGCAUAUAUAUUUAUAAUUGUUAAGUCUUGUUGGUGUAUGUUUCCCUUGAGCAGAACAUAGUGUCUUUCUUUAUCCCUUUUGAUUAACUUUGCCUUGCAGUCUACUUCAUUUGAUAUGAGGAUGGAAACCCUUGCUUGCUUCAGCAGUCCAUAUGAUUGGGUAUGAUUUUUCCCAACCUUUCACCUUCAGUCUGUUGAUGUCUUUUCCUUUGAGAUGAGUCUUGUAGAGACUUGUUGGGUCUUUUUCUUUUUUCUGACCCAAUCUGCUAGUCUAUGUCUUUUGAUUGGUGAGUUUAGGCCAUUAACAUUCAGGGUUAUUAUUGAGACAUGAUUUGUAUUCCCAGACAUUUUUGUUUAUUUUUGGUAUUUAACUUGACUUGGUUUCUCUUCUGAUUUGUUUUUCCUUUAGUGUAAUACCUCUCUCUGCUGAUAUUCAUUGUUGUUUUUCAAUUCCUCUUGGUGGAAUAUUUUGCUGAGGAUGUUCUAUAGUGCAGGCUUUCUAGUUGUAAACUCUUUUAACUUUUGUUUAUCAUGGAAGGUUUUUAUGUCAUCAUCAAAUCUAAAGCUUAAUUUUGCUGGAUAUAAGAUUCUUGGUUGGCAUCCAUUUUCUUUCAGAGCUUGGUAUAUGUUGUUUCAUGAUCUCCUGGCUUUGAGGUCUGGGUUGAAAAAUCUGCCGAGAUAUGAAUUGGUCUCCCCCUAUAUGUGAUCUGAUUCCUCUCUCUUGUGGCUUUUAAGAUUCUAUCCUUAUUCUGUAUGCUAGGCAUUUUCAUUAUAAUUUGCCUUGGUGUAAAUAUGUUGUAAUUUUGUACAUUUGGUGUCUUGUAAGCCUCUUGUAUUUGGUUUUCCAAUUCAUUCUUUAUGUUUGGAACAUUUUCUGAUAUUAUUUCAUUGAAUAGAUUGCUCAUUCCUUUGGUUUGGAACUCUAUUUCUUCCUCUAUCCCAGUGACUCUUAAAUUUGUUUUUUUUUUAUGUUAUCCCAUGUUUUUUGAAUGUUCUGUUCAUGUUUUCUUACAAGUCCAACUUUAUUCUUCAGAUUGUAUAUUUUGUCUUUAUUAUCUGACAUUCUUUCUUCAAAGUGAUCUGUUCUGUUGCUUAUGCUUUCUAUUGAGUCUUUUAUUUGUUUUAGUAUUUUCUUCAUUUCAGGGAUUUCUGACUUUUUUUUUCAGAGUCUCUAUCUCUUUCUUGAAGUAAUCUUUUGCUACCUGUAUUUGUUCUCUUAUCUCUUUGUUGGAUCAAUUUUGCCUGUAUUUGCUCAUUUAGGUCAUUCUUUAAUUCACAGAUCAUUUUAAUUAUGAACCUUCUGAAUUCCUUCUCUGAUAUUUCAUCAACUUCACUGUCCAUGGGUUCUGAUAUUAUAGUAUCCUGGUUUGUUUGAGGAACUUUCCUCCAUUGUUUUUUCAUGUUGUCUAUGUGUCUUUUCUCACAGUGUGGAUUUGAGAUAUUACAGUUUCUUCCCUAGAUUCUUGUAGCACCUGUGCUGAUUGUCUAUGCUUCACCUUGAUGUUGGGCUUCCAGACCCUGCUGCUGUCCCUCAAUGUAUGCUACUGCAACUAAAGAUGGUGGCAGCAAUAGCCGAGAUAAUGGUGAAGGUGCCCCAAGAUGGGUGCAAUGUUUUACAGAAAUGGGGCUGAUAGGGUGGGCCUUAUACUGUCUUUGGCAUGCCUGCUCUGAGAUGUAGCUGCUUCUAGGCCCUGUCUGUUGUCAAAAAUAUAGGGGCUACUGUGUGAGGAAGGCUAUGGUGAUGUCUGCAGUGUUCCAAGAUGGAGGUGGGUUAGGCUUGGGUUCCCAGGUGGUGGUGGUGGGGUGGCGAACUUGGACUUACCCUGGGCCUGGGUCUCAUGUAUGUCAGUGUGGGCAGAUCUGGGCCAAGCCUGAGCUCCUGUGGUGGUCUGGUGGUUGGAAGAAGUGGUCCUGUUCCAGAGUCUGAGCUCUGAAGGUUGUCUGCCAGUGGCGGGAUAAACUGGGGCCUAUUGUGAGCUUGUGUCCUACGCAGAUCAGUGUGGGCAAUUCUGGUUCGGAUAGCUCUUAAGAACAUGCUCCAACAUGUUCAUUUUGAUUUGUGGAACUUCAGUUUAUUUAUUUCAGCCUCUUAUUCUUGCCACUUUUUUGUUAUCUUCUCAGCUCAGCUCCUUAGCCAAUCACCUCUGCAACUUCAAACACCAAAACUUCAAUCAUUCACUUUCUGAUACAAUGAACAUAUUAAUGUUCCAAUUCUCCUCAUCAUCCUUCUUUUACCAUCAACCUGUCCUCAUUGAAGUCAGUUUUGUCAAACUUGAGAAAUUUUGUACUAUCUUUUAUUAUUUCAAUCCCUAUAUUUUGCCAUAAUUUUAACCUGAUAAUUAAAAAAAAAAAAACCCAGACCUGAAUUUACACUGUUAUGAUUGCAGCAAUAUUAUUCAUUUCAAAGCCAGGUAAAGUGGCAUGACUACAUUAUCUUUUCUACCAACGCAAUGCCAGAAAUUUGUGUUGUUAGAUGGAAAAUGUUCUUAGGAUUGGGUACAAAUAUAAUGUCCUAUUUUAUGCUGAGAUGAUUUUUUAAUCUUUAAGAUUUUUGAGUAUUCUUGAUUGGUAUUCUGCUGAUGUUUCCCAUUUAUUCUCAUUUUUAUGGUAGUUUAUACCUUUAAAGGAUGUAUUUACAACAUUUUAAUAGCACCUCAGAUGGAAAUAGGUAUGAACAAAUCAUCAUUAUAAUUAUUAAAAAUUGUAUAAGCUAUAUAAUGCUGAAGUAAAGAUGGUACAUGGAGAGUCUUUUAAAGAAAAGAUAAUGCCUAUCAUCAUAGGAACAGUGAAAUUCAGAGUUUUCUAUUUAAAAAUCAGGAAACCACAGCAGUAUAAAUUAACUUGGCAAACAUAACCAACUGGCAAAUAUUAAUCUAGAAUGAACAAUUCUGUCUGAAAGUUAUUUUCUUCUUACCUGAUAACAGUUGAUUUUAAUGGUACCUGAUGAUCAUUUUUUUUUUUUGCUCAAAGAAUUAGAAUUUGGUGUACCCAGCAGCUUUACAUAAUUCAAGUCAAUGAGACUCCGUAAAUAUUUUAUUUUCAGUAGUUUUGACUCUAGACAUGAUAUAUUCUUAGGGAGAAGCUAGAGAAUAUUUACUAAGCUAUUCUUAAAACUUUUAGAGGAAGCUUAUAGCUCGUGAAGGUUUUUACUUUCUAAUUAGAGAUUCCUUUCAGGGGAAAAAAUCUCUUUUAAACAUCCUUUUGAUGAAUUAUUUAACUCACAACAUUUUAUUUAAUCAUAUUGCAGUUAAAUUUUAACUGGAGCUAAAAUAAGUCUUGGUUGUUAUAUAUAUUUUCAGAACUUAAAUUAUAUGUUUGAACCAUUUUGUUAAAGGAAACAAAAUAAAAUAAUUUCAGCAUACAUAGUCAUAAUUUCCUAUUUAUUUCAAUGAAGUGUCAAGGGCUACAGAAAAAUAUUUCUCUGUUUGGACACUUAUAACUGGAAAAAAAAAAGGACAUUAUAUAACAGGUUACAUUACUAAUGUCCCUGAGAUUAUGUGCACUGAGUAUUUUGUUAGUCUACCAAUACUACAGGGUUUAGAUUUUGAGGAGUAAAGUAAAAAAAACACAAAUUCAGCAUAAUACUGGAUUGUCAAUUGACUCUUUUUGUAAAAAAAAUUCAGAAAUUUUAUUUUUUUUACUUAUACAUGAGAGUACAGUCCAUAUAUAUAUAUAUAUAUAUAUAUAUAUAUAUAUAAUUUUACAAGCAUGAAAUAUAUCUUUUUCUAAUUAGGACCCCAGUCUUGUGGAUUUACAUGAUGGUGAGAUUCACUGUACAUGUACAUAGGACAGUUAUGUCAAAUUCAUUCCACUGUCUUUCCUUCUCCUAUCCUCCCUCCCUUCCCUUCAUUCUCCUUUCCCUAAUCCACUGAACUUCUAUUUUUACCCUCAUACCCUCAUACCCUCCCCUCCUCUUAUUGUGGUUUAGCUUCCACACAUCAGAGAAAACAUUCAAACUUUGGUUUUUAUGGGAUUGGCUUAUUUCACUUAGUAUGAUAGUCUUCAGAUCCAUCCAUUUACCAGCAAAUGUCAUAAAGUCAUUCUUCUUUGUGGCUGAGUUUUGUGAGUAUGUACCACAUUUUCUUUAGCCAUUCAUCUGUUGACAGAUACCUAAGUUGGCUCCAUAGCUUAGCUAUUGUGAAUUGUGCUGUUAUUAACAUGGAUGUGGCUGUGUCAUUGUAGUAUGCUCAUUUUAAAUCCUUUGGAUAUAUACUGAGAAGUGGGAUAACUUGGUCAAAUGGUGGUUCCAUUCCUAGUUUUUUGAGGAAUCUCCAUGCUGCUUUCCAGAGUGGUUGCACCAAUUUGCAGGUCCACUAACAAUGUAUGAGUGUACUUUUUUUCCCACAUCUUCACCAAAAUUUAUUGUUACUUGUAUUCUUGGUCAUUGCCAUUUUGACCUCAGUGAGAUGAAAUCUCUGGGCAGGUUUAAUUUACAUUUCUCUAAUUGCUAGAGUUGUUGAACGUUUUUUUUCAUAUAUUUAUUAAACAUUCAUAUUUCUCCUCUUGAGAAGUAUCUGUUUAGUUCCUUUGCCCAUUUAUUAAUUGAGUCAUUUUUUGUUUUUUAUGUUUAGUUUUUUGAGUUCUUUGUAUAUCCUGGAGGUUGAUGCUCUAUCUAAAGUGUGGGUGGCAAAGUUUUUCUCUCAUUCUGUAGGGUCUCUCUUCAUGCUCUUGAUUGUUUUUUGGUGUAAAGAAGCUUUUUAGUUUGAUGUAAUCCCAUGUAUUGAUUUUUAAUUUUACUUCUUGUGUUUUAAGAGUCCUGUUAAGAAGUCAGUUCCUGAGCCACCAUGUUUUCUUCAAGGAGGUGUAGGGUUUAUGGUCUAAUUCAUAGGUCUUUGAUCCACUUUGAGUUUUGUUUUUGCCAGGUGAGAGACAGAUGUUAAAUUUCAUUUACCUACAUAUGGAUUUCCAGUUUUUCAAUCACCAUUUGUUGAAGAGGCUCUUUUCUCCAAUAUAUGUUUUGGUGCUUUGUCUAGUAUAAGAUAACUCUAUUUGUGUGGGUUUGUCUCUGUGUUUUCUAUUCUAUCCCAUUGGUCUUCAUGCCAAUUUUUUGCCAGUACCAUGUUGGGUUUUUUGUUGUUGUUGUUGUUAUUGUAGCUCUGUAGUAUAAUUUAAGGCCUGGUACGCCUCCUGCUUUGCUUUUCUUGCUAAGGAUUUCUUUGGCUAUUCUGGGUCUCUUAUUUUUCCAAAUAAAUUUCAUGACUCAUGACUACUUUUUCUAUUUCUCUAAAGAAGUCAUUGAAAUUUUAAUGUGACUGGCAUUAAAUAUGUAUAGUGUCUUCAGUAGUAUGGGCAUUUUGGCAUUCAAUUGAAACUAAAAUAAUAAAAUUCUAUUUCCAUCAUAAUUUUUCUCCAAUAUUAUUUCUUAUAAAGUCUUGUUGAGAUUAUAGUUUCAGAGUAAAUGCUGUGUCAAUAUGAAUUCAUUAAAAACUAAGAGCUAGCAGACUUAAAGAAGAAUUAAAUUAUGGCAUUUUCCAGUAAAUGGAUGAAACUGGAGAAUGUCAUGCAAAGCAAAAUAAGCCAAUCCCAGAAAACUAAAGGCCAAAUGUUUUCUCUGAUAUGCAGAUGCUAAUUCACAAUAAGGACAAUAAGGGGGAUUGCUAGGGAAGAAUAGAGGUACUUUGGCUUAGACAGAGGGGAGUGAAGGGAGAGGAGGGGGUCUGGGAGUAGGCAUGAUAAUAGAAUGAAGUGGACAUUAUUAUACUAUGUGCAUAUAUGAUUAUAUGACCUGUGUAACUCUACAUCAUGUGUAACCAGAAGAAUGAGAAGUUAUACUCCAUUUAUGUAUGAUGAAUCAAAAUGCAUUCUACUAUCAUGUGUAACUAAUUAGAACAAAUUUAAAAAAGAAUAAAAACACUAAGAGCCAGGAUACCCAAACUCAACCAUCUUUAUAAUCAGACAAUGGAGGCAUUGAGAAUUUAAAUGCUAUCUUCAAAUAGAUCAACACCUAAUUGCUAGCAGACUUGAGAGUAUCUCAAAAAAAUUUAUUAUGUUAUGCUUUCAUUUUCAUUGUGUCCAAAAUAUUUAAGAAUUUCUCUUGUAAUGUCUUUGAAACCUGAUUAUUUAGAAAUGUUUUAUAAUUUCUAAACAUUUGGAAAUUUUGCAGAUCUUUUAUUUUUGUUGUUGUUGAUUUGGGAUUUAAUUCCAUUGGGCCAGAUAAUAUGAUUCAAUUCCCUUUUUAGCACAAAAUAUAGUCUGUUUUGUGAUGAGCUUUGUGUGUACUUGAAUAAUAAUAAUAAUAAUAAUAAUAUUUUUUACUGUUGUUGCAGCAACACUAGUGGUGUUGCUGAACUUGCUGAGAAGCUGCAGUGCUACCUGCAGAACUUUCUGGAAAGCUGGCCAUAGGUAUGUCAUUAGACUUUGCUGGAGGAAAGUUCAACUAGAUGUCCUACUUGUCAGCAAAAUACUGCAGGAUAAAAAAGGGAAAAACACCUAGGAAAGAUGUCCCAUCUUUGGUAGUGCAGACUCUUUCUAGUGGUGAAGCUUAACAUCUUUCCAGGUGGGAGAGAUUCAGUUCCAUUACCACAAACAAGGAAAUAAAGAAUUGAUUUGCAGCUGAUAGGCAACAGAUUUGUAAAUGGCACACUUAGAACAAUAGCACUUACAUAACUCUUGGUAACAUUAUUAAAAUAGUCUUAUUCUCUCUAUUGCACUGUAACUAGCAGAGGAAUGAGAUCAUCAGUGAAGACUACGAAUUAAUACCUUGGGUAUCCACAAAAUAAGUGGAAUCAUAUGCUAGUUUUCAUAAUUUUCAUUUUUAUUUAUCAAUGAACUAAAAUUAAAAUGUCUACAAAUAAAUAGAGUCAUCAAUAGAUGGUGCUAUAUGCCUAUAUAUAUUUUUUAGAGAAGUUGAUAUUUACUUUUCCCUUUAUAAAAUUGUCUUUAAAAGUUGUAUACUUUAACCUAUAUUUAAGAAUUUUACAAAAAUUCUUAAAAUUUAAUUUAUAUUAAUUAAACUAGGCAUAUUUUAGCAGAACAUAAAAAAAUUGCAAGUAAUAUUGGGAAGCUCAGUACUCUGUGUCUGCUGUUGGAAUGAAAUAUAAGGAUAGAAUUUGGAGAGAAGAUGGUGAGCCAGAGGGAGGCAGCAUUCUGUGUUGCUCUGUGACCUGGGACUCAAGUUGUGAGAUAUUGCUUCUCUGCAAGCCAUAUUCCUGCUCCUGUGUGGGAAUCAUGGUCACCAUGCCCCUACAGGGCUCCAGGCCCCAGUGUGAGAGUAGGUCUCCCAACUACUCAUCCAUGCAGGACUACUGGAUACCUGAGUGGAACCAUCAACACCCAUGCAGAACUUUUGGCUACCCACCUGAGCAGAAAUCACUAAAACUACACCUGCCCAGGACAUCCGGCAGCUUCCCACAUGCAGGAACUCCAGCCGCCACUCCUAUGUGAACCCCCAUCUACCAACGCAGGGCUCCACUGGUCGCCGCCAUCUUGGGACUCUGCAGCAGUGAAGAUACUGCACAGUGGCCUGCCUGCACUGAGAGAACGUCACACAGGCUCUGACGUAAGCUGACUGCCACACACUGCACAAGCUAGUCUCUGAACUCAUCCUCCAAUGCCAUUGCUUGGCUUCCACCACACAACCUGACAGCUCACCACUGAAAGCAGGCGCCUCCAUCUUGGGCCACCUUCAUGGAACUCUGGCUGACCCCAGGUACCCAGCUUCUAACUGCCCCCUCUCCCCACCAGUUGCCACUCUGGCACAGUGACACCCAGAUUAACUUCACUACUCUGAAGGCGGAGAUACCAGCUAAUAACAGAAGACCCUGCCUAUUGGAUGAGAAGGGAAGCAUGAAAGAUACAGAUCUCCAACCAAAACAAUCCUGUUUCUCCCUUUAAGAUUUUUUUUCCCUCUCUCCCUCUCUAUUCUCCCAUCCUCACAUCCCCAACAUAUGUAAAACUAAGUACUUUGCAUGAAGUAGGAUUUGAGAACUGGGACGUCUGAAUAGUAUAUUACAGCUGUGUUUUGCAUGUGUGUGCCUAUCUUUUAUCUUGCCAAUUUCUACUAUUUGAAAAUUUUUAAUUUUUCUCAAUAUAUAUGUGUGUUUGUUUUAUGUACUCUGCUAUCUUCCCAAUUAUUUGUCUACCCAAAAUUACUUCUUCUCCCUUCUCCUGCUACUAGCCUUCCUCUUUAGAUUUCUAUUUCACAUUUCCUAAGAUAUAACAACUCUAUAUCCUCACCUCCUACCUCCUCAGCAUAUCAUCCUUCUCCUUACUCCCAUUUUCUUUGUCCACCAUCAGAAACUGUAAGCCCUUUUACAAACCUACUGAAUAUAUUGUAGAUAAUAAUUGAAUUUACCAUUUCUGUACAUUGUGACCAAACUGUAAACAUCUUAAUAGCAAGUAUUUUUUUUUAGGGUGUAUACUAUUUAUAUUGAUAUCUGAUAACAUUGUCCUUCACCUCAAAGAAGAGAUAUUGGAUCCCUACAGGGGCACUAUAAGCCUACAGGGUAAAAAGGGUAAUGCCUCAGAUCUACAGUGCCAGAAGGGAAGACAUAUAAGCAAUAUGAAAAGACAGGGGAAGAAAGUUCCCCAAAUAUAUAAAGAUACCACAUUAUUAGAAUCCAUGGUAAGCACAGCAGAAGAAAUUAAAGAGAAGGAGUUCAGGAUGUACAUAUUAAAAUGUUCUGGGAAUUAAAGGAUACUAUAAGAGAGCAAAUACAGGCAGCAAAAAUCAUUUCGAGAAAGAGCUAAACAAAUACAGGAAGCAAAAGAUUACUUCAAUAGGGAGAUAGAGGUUCUAAAACAAACAAAUAGAAAUCUUUGAAAUUAAAGAAACAAUAAACCAAAUUGAAAGCAUCACCAACAGAUUAGACCACUUGGAAGACAGGACCUCAGACAAUGAGGACAAAAUAUAUAAUCUUGAAAACAAUGUAGACAACACAGUAACAAUGGUAAGAAAACAUAAGCAGAACAUUCAAGAAAUAUGGGAUAACAUAAAAGACCAAAUUUAACAGUUAUUGGGAUAGAGGAGGGAAUAGAGUUCCAAACCAAAGUAAUGAGCAAUCUAUUCAAUGAAAUAAUAUCAGAAAAUGUUCCAAACAUGAAAAAUGAAUUGGAAAACCAAAUUCAAGAGGCUUACAGGACACCAAAUGUACAAAUCCAUACCAAGGCAUAUUAUAAUGAAAAUGCCUAACAUACAGAAUAAGGAGAGUUUUAAAAGCCAUGAGAGAAAGGAAUCAGAUUACAUUUAGGAGAAAACCAAUUAGAUUAUGUCCAGAUUUCUUUAACCCAGAACCUGAAAGCUAGAAAAUCCUGAAACAACAUAUAUCAAGCUCUAAAAGAAAAUGGAUGCCAACCAAGAAUAUUAUAUCCAACAAAAUUAAUCUUUAGAUUUGAUGAUGAAAUAAAAACUUUCCGUGAGAAACAAAAGUUAAAAGAAUUUACAACUCGGAAGCCUGAACUACAGAACAUCCUCAGAAAAUAUUUCAUAAGGAAAAACUGAAAAACAACAAUGAAAAUCACUAAAGGGAGGUAUUACACUAAAGGAAAAACUAAUCAAAGGAGAAACCAAGUCAAGUUAAAUAACAAAAAUGCCUGGGAAUACAAAUCAUGUAUCAGUAAUAACCCUGAAUGUUAAUGGCCUAAACUCACCAAUCAAAAGACAUAGAUUGGCAGAUUGGAUUUAAAAAAGACCCAACAAUAUGCUGCCUCCAAGAGACUCAUCUCAUAGGAAAAGACAGCUACAGAUUGAAGGUGAAAAAUUGGGAAAAAUCAUACCACUCACAUGGACUGCCGAAGCAAGCAGGGGUUUCCAUCCUCAUAUCAAAUAUAGUAGACUUCAAACUAAAGUUAAUCAAAAGGGAAAAAGAAGAACAUUUUGUAUGGCUUAAGGGAAAGAUUCAUGAAUAAGACAUAACAAUAAUAAAUUUAUAUGCCCCUACAUUCAUCAAACAUAGUCUUCUCAAGUUCAAGAGUCAAACAGAGCACAACACAAUAAUUCUGGGUGACUUUAACACAAAUCUUUCACCACUGGAUAGAUCUUCCAAACAAAAGCUGAAAAAUGAAACUAUAGAACUCAAUUAAACAAUCAAUAAAUUAGACUUAACUGACAUAUACAGAAUAUUUUAUCCUUCAACCAGCGAAUACACUUUCUUCUCAGCAGCAUAUGGAUCCUUCUCUAAAACAGGCCAUAUAUUAUGCCACAAAGCAAAUCUUAUCAAAUAUAAAAUAGUAGAGAUCUAUUAGAUCACAAUGGAAUGAAAUUAAAAGUCAAUAAAAAAUAAGAAUAAAAGCUGCUCCAACACCUGCAGACUAAAUAAUUUGCUACUGAAUGAACAAUGGGUUGCAAAAGACAUCAAGGAGGAGAUUAAAAAAUUCUUAGAGGUGAAUGAGAACACAGAUACAACAUAUCAAAAUCUCUGGGACACUAUAAAGCCUACCAACCAAAAAAAGCCCAGGACCGGAUGGAUACAUAGCUGAGUUCUACAAGAUCUUUAAAGGAGAACUAAUUCCAAUACUCGUCAAUUUAUUUCUGAAAAUAGAAAAAGAGGGAGCACUUCCAAACUCAUUCUAUGAGGCCAAUAACACCCUGAUUCCAAUAACAGACAAAGACACAUCAAGCAAAGAAAACUUCAGACCAAUAUCUCUAAUGACAUAGAUGCAAAAAUUCUCAAUAAAAUUCUCACAAAUUGAAUACAAAACAUAUCAAAAAGAUUGUCCACCAUGAUCAAAUGGGAUUCAUCCCAGGGAUGCAAGGUUGGUUCAACACAUAGAAAUCAAUAAAUGUAAUUCAUCACAUCAAUAGACUUAAAGAUAAGAACCAUAUGAUCAUCUCAAUAGAUGCAGAAAAAACAUUUGACCAAAUACAGCACCCCAUUAUGUUCAAAACAUUAGAAAAUUAGAAAUAACAGGAAUAUAUCUCAACAUCAUAAAAGCUAUCUAUGCUAAGCACUAAGCCAACAUCAUUAUAAAUAUAAAAAAAUUGAAAUCAUUCCCUCUAAAACCUGGAACAAAACAGGGAUGCCCUCUUUCACCACUUUUAUUUAACACAGUUUUUGAAACACUGGCCAGAUCAAAUAGACAGAAAAAAGAAAUUAAAGGAAUAUUGAUAGAUAAAGAAGAAUUCAAAUUAGCACGAUUGUCAAUGACAUGAUUCUAUACCUAGAAGACCCAAAAAAUUCCACCAGCAAACUUCUAGAACUAGUAAAUGAAUUCAGCAGAGUAUCAGGAUACAAAAUCAACACCCAUAAAUCAAAGGCAUUUCUGUAUAUCAGUAACAAAUCCUCUGAAAUGGAAAUGAGAAAAACUAUCCCAUUUACAAUAGAAUCAAAAUAAAUAAAUAAAUAAAAUACUUGGAAAUCAACCCAAUGAAAGAGUUGAAAUACCUCUACAAUGAAAGUACAGAAAACUAAAGAAAGAAAUUAAAGAAGACCUUAGAAGAUGGAAAGAUCUCCCUUGUUCUUGGAUAGGAAGAAUUAAUAUUGUCAGAAUGAGCAUACUACCAAAAGCAUUAUGCAGAUUUAAUGCAAUUCCAAUCAAAAUUCCAAUAACAUUCCUCAUAAAAAUAGAAAAAGCAAUCAUGAAAUUCAUCUGGAAAAAUAAGAGACCCAGAAUAGCUAACACAAUCCGUAGCAAGAAGAGUGAAGCAGGUAACAAUCACUAUACCAGACCUUAAACUAUACUACAGAGAAAUAGUAACAAAAAUAGCAUGGCAUUGGCAACAAAAUAGACUUAUAGGCCACUGGUACAGAAUAGAGGACACACAGACUAACCCACAUAAUUGCAUUUAUCUUAUAUUAGACAAAGGCACCAAAAAUGUACACUGGAAAAAAGAUAGUCUCUUCAACAAAUGAUGCUGGGAAAAUUGGAAAUCCAUAUGCAACAAAUGAAAUUAAACCCCUAUCUCUCACCAUGCACAAAACUCAACUCAAAGUGGAUCAAAGACCUGGAAUUAAACCAGAGACCUUGCACCUAGUGGAAGAAAAAAUUGGCCCAAAUCUCCAUAAUGUUGGAUUAGGCCUCUACUUCCUUAAGAAGACUCCUAUAGUGCAAAAAUUAAAAUCAACAAUUAAUAAAUAGGAUGAAUUCAAACUAAAAAUCUUCUCAUCAAAAGAAACAAUCAGUGAGGUGAAUAGAGAGCCUAGAGCUCAGGAGAAAAUUUUUAACACUUGCACAUCAGAUAGAGCACUAAUCUCUAGGGUAUAAAAGAAAUCAAAAAACUUAACUCCAAAAAAGACAAAUAAUCCAAUCAAUAAAUGGGCAAAGUAAAUGAAAAGACACUUUUCAGAAAGUGACAUACAAUUAAUCAGCAAAUAUAUGAAAAAAUGUUCAACAUCUCUAGCAAUUAGAGAAAUGCAAAUCAAAACUACUCUAUGUCAGGGACUAGAAGGAAAUUCUUCUUCAAAGAUUAGCCUGACAGUCCCCUGGGAGACAUCCUGCCUGGGAGGCAUCCUGCAGCUACCUAUCUCCCUGGAACAUCCUGCGGUUAUCAGGAUCAUCAGACAUCUUGCACCUGGCAGUUUUACCACCCACAUCCAGCAAUUGCUGAUUAGAGAGCUUCCCUAUCCCCAGCAUAUAAAUACCCCUGUGUGAACAAUAAAAAUUUGCAGCUUGAUCAGACCCCUGUCUUGCUGUCACCUUUCCUGUCUCUUGUCCCUUCAUUCCUCCCCAUCUAGGUUCGCUGCCCACAUUGAUGGUGUCCUGCCGGACUGGACAACUCUAAAAUUUCAUCUCACUCUAGUCAGAAUGGCAGAUAUUAAGAAUACAAACAACAACAAGUGUUGGUGAGGAUGUGGGGAAAAAGACACACUCAUACACUGCUGGUGGAACUACAAAUUGGUGCAGCCAGUAUGGAAAGCAGUAUGGAGAAUCCUUGGAAAACUGGGAAUGGAACCAUCAUUUGACUCAGCUAUCCCACUCCUCAGCCUAUACCCAAAGGACUUAAAAACAGCAUACUACAGGGACACAGCCACAUCAAUGUUUAUAGCAGCACAAUUCACAAUAGCUAAAAUGUGGAACCAACCUAUGUGUCCAUCAGUAGAUGAGUGGAUAAAGAAAAUGUGGUGUAUAUACACAAUGGAAUAUUACUCAGCAAUAAAAGAGAAUAAAAUCAUGGUAUUUGCAGAUAAAUGCAUAAAUUUGGAGAAUAUAGUGGUAAGUGAAGUAAGCCAAUCCCCAAAAACCAAAUGCCAAAUAUUUUCUCUGGUAUAGGGAGGCUGAUUCAUAAUAGGGUUGGAAGGGGAAGCAUGGGAAGAUUAGACAACUGUAGAUAGGGCAAAGAGGAGAGAGGGUAAGGGAAGUGGCAAGGGGGUAAAAAAAGAUGGUGGAAUGAGAUGGACAUCACUACCCUAAGUACAUGUAUGAAGAAGACACGAAUGGUGUGAAGAUACUUUGUGUACAAGCAGACAGAUGAAUUCCUGCGUGUGUGAAGCUGCUGAGUGUCCUGUGUGGUAGCGGCAUCUGUGAUUUCUGCUCAGGUGGUUGGCUGAAAGUUCUGCAUGGGUGUUGAUGGUCCCGUUUGGGUACCUGAUAGUCCCAUGUGGGUGAGUAGUUGGGAGACCUACUCUGAUUCUGAGGCCUGGAGCCCUGGACAGGCAUGGUGGCUAUGAUUCCUGAGUGGCAACAGGAAUAUUGCUUGCGGAGAAGCAGUAUUCUCACUACUUGAGUCCCAGAUCAAGGAGUGACACAGAAUACUACCUCCCUCUGGCCUGCCAUCUUGGAUCUCCUCUUGAAGACAAUAUUUUUAAAUGAAAUUCAUUUGUCGUUCCUACAGAGGAUUGUUUCACCUGCCCCUAUCUAGUUUGUGAUUUUAUUAUCUUUAUCCAGUUCUCCUUUCAUUUUUGCUUUGUUACAAUGAGGAAUAUUCAACCAAUUUUCAUUUUCUAUAAUUUCUCUAAUGUCAAUUCAUACAAAAUUAAGAAGCCAGGUUUGGUAGAGCACAGUCUGUAAUCCCAACUGAUUGGGAGGCUGAGGGAGAAGGAUUCAAGUUUAAUGGCAGGGUGGGCAACUUACUGAGACUGUCUGGGGGGAAAAAAAAAGACAAAUAAAUUGCAAGUCUGGGGGAUGUAACUCAGUGGCAGAGCGCUUUCCCAGCAGCCAAGCCCUACAUUUAAUCCCUGAUACUACACAAAUGGCGGGGGGAGGUGCAGACGGAGAGAGAAAGUGGUGGGGGGUGGAGGAAGAAAGAGGAACAGAGAGAGAGGAGAAAGGGGGAGAGGAAGAUCGAUAUGUAUGAUAGAACAGCUCAACUGGAGGUGUCAGGGAAUGAGAGGAGGGCAUCCUACAGCAAGCAAGGAUGUGGGUAUGCAGGGCCCACGCAGCCUAAGGAGGGAAUCCCUGGGGCAGAACAGAAUGCAUGCACGGGCCUGGAGGUCUGAGUGCGCUGCAGAUACCCACAAAUGGCACAGAUGGGUGGUCUGAAGUGGAGUGUUGGGUCCGCGGACUUGAAGGAAAGAUCAUCCUGCAUGAUCUUGAAUGCCAGAGCGGGAGCAGAAGGAAGCUCAGGGGCGAGGCAGCUCUGUCUGCUCUGGGAAGUCAGAGCCGGAGAAGCACGUUUCCCAGUGGCCCAGACAGCCCAGUAGAGGGGUAUUAAGGGCAAAAAUGGGUCUCAGCUCAUUUGGAUCAGAAUAAACUUUGUAUCCUAGGGUGAAAUACUCUCGUCAUGGCCAUGACACCCAGUGGUCCUUCUUGUUAUCUUAAUAACAAGAACUGUUUCAAUUCUUUGGAUUUUAAGAAGCUCCAUAUUUUACAGUUCUCAAUUCAGGAUAUGCCCCGAGAAAGAAGGAAAAGAUGUUCUUGGAAUAGUUGGUCUCCUUGGUUCUUAGGGAAAUCUGACCAGCAUCUUCUACCAGUGGAGGGCGGGGCUUCCUCAUCAUGUCUAAAAAUUAUAGAAUGUCACACAGACUUCUUGUUAGUCCUCCCUGGUGAGGCAUGAUAGCCUCUGUUCACUUUGCAGGACCUCAGAAUGCACUUAACCUCUCUGUCAAUGAGCACUCUUAGGCUCUUCAUGCUUUGGGAAUCCCUGUCUUCCACUUACACGUCUAUGCCUCAAAUAUCUGAUUUCAAAUAUGAAAUAGAAUUUUCAGGACUGACUUUCAUCUCAUUCAAUAUUGAAGGGCAACCCCUGCCCUACCACACUCCUCAAGAGAGUUUAAGUUUCGAACAGAAAACUCUAUAACAGAACAGCCAAUGCUCACUUUGUUGCCCAUUCCAUUUUCAGUUAAGAUGUUGUUUUUUAAACUUGAAAUUAAACCAUAUCCCUCUAUCUUUGACCCAUCAGAACUCAUUGUAUGCUUGAGCAUCUCGAGAAAUGGAGUAUGACUCUUCUUUCUCAGGACAUCCAUUCAUGUACUUCUAGCAACAGGCUUUGUAUGGUUAUCUUUUUUUAUUGUAAUUCAUCUUAACAUGUUCUUUCCUCCUGUGUGUGUGUGUGUAUGUGUGUGUGUAUGUGUGUGUGUGUGUUUGUAUGUGUGCACUGGGCAUUGAACCCAGGGUUUCUCUAUCACUAAACUACAUUCUCAGCUUCUUAAUAUUAUUAUUAUUAUUUUUUUAUCUUGAGACAUGAUCUAGCUAAGCUGCCCAGGCUGACCUUGAAUUUGCCCUCCUUGCUGGGAUUGCAAGUGUGUGCCAAGGUACCUGGCUUAUGUUCCCGUUUUUUGGUGCUCCUUUUGUGCGUAUGAAUCCAGAACUAUAUAUAAAAGCCAAAAUUAUUUCAUUUUCGGAUUUUUGACAUUUAUUUAAUUUAGUAUGCCCAUGUAUAUAAAUUAAGUCUAUGUACUAUGUUCUCAGUUAUACAGUAAAUCUAAAACUCUGAAAAAAGUGUUUAACUACAAUUUUAGAAAAUUUUAAAAUAAGAAUACUGCUGAAAUAUUUAAUUCAAAAUAUAGAAAUCACACAUUUAUACACAUAGAUAAACCUUCAUAAAUUUUUAGAAAAGCUUGAAAUCUCACUAUUAGUACUUAUUGUGUAAGUUUAAAUAAGACACUUAAUUUGAGAAGGCCAGUUUCCUUAUUCAGAAUAUGAGAGAUUGGGGUUAGAUGGUCUCUAGGGUUUUUUUUUUAAUAUUUAUUUUAAUUUAAAAGGCAAUAUCUUUUGUUCACAUGUUAUUUUCAGCAGAACUUAGACUUUAUACCAGAACAUUUCAGUUACUUACUAAGUUAGUACAGCAAAAAGCUUUUCUGACAGUUUUUGUAAUGUUCCAUAAGAUGGUGCUAUAUCGCCAUGAGAAAAUGUUUAUAGUUUCCAUUUCACAAAGCUUGGUAUUAAGCGGUUGGUAUCCCUAUCUGUUGAGUUGCAUCUAUUCUUUCAAACACUAUUGGAGAAAAAACCCUAAUGAAUCAAUCUAAUUAAUAAAAGAAUUAACUUGUAUGAAAAUGUAUUAUUUUAACUAGAGGUUAGUAAACUUUAGUUAUAUUAAGAUUUUUAGAUCAUAUCAUAAUCUCCAUUGCAGCCACUCAAAUCUGCCAUUUUAACCUAAAAGUAACCAUGGAAAAUACAUCCACAAAGGGGGAAACCAUGUACAGAAACCCAAUUUAUUUACAAAAACAAGUGAUCAGACCAUGCGCUACAAUUUGAUGACCUGUGAUAUAAAUCACACAGGAAACUGAGUUUCCACCUGAUCAGUGACUAUUUGUACUGAGCCAAAAUAGGUACUUUCAUUAGAUGGACAAACUUCAGGGUGUAUUCUUUCUGAUCUUUGCCUGGUGGUAUUCACCCCUUUUUAUGACCCUCUCCCCUUGGAUAGGAACGAGGAUCAAGAAUAUGGCAAAGGUGAUUGGAUAUCACUUCUGUGAUUAUGUUUUAUUACAUAUGACUCUAACUUGUUAGCAGACUUGUUCCAAAGACUUUUAUUGCUGGCAGUAUGAAUAAAUGGCUGUGUUGGAAAAAUCUUCAUAGAGAGGAGCUGAAGGUCAUUUGCAGCAGAGAGCCAGCAAGAAAGUGGGUACACAUGUGUGCGCGCACACACACUCAAUAUGUAUAGAUGUAUAAACACAAAAAUGUAUUUUUUCCAUACAUACACAUUCAUAUACAGUAUUUUGACUAAAGAAUAUUUCUGUUGGGUAUGUUGGCACAUGCCUGUAAUCCCAGCAGCUCCUGAGGCUGAGGCAGGAAGAUCACUCAAAGCCAACAGCAAGUUAGUGAGGCCCUAAGCAACUUAGUGUGAACUGUCUCAAAAUAAAAAUAUUUAAAAAGGAUUGGGUUGUGGUUUAGAGGUAGUGUACUCACCUAGCAUGCAUGAGGCACUGGGUUUGAUUCUCAGCACCACAUAAAAAUAAAAUAAAGGUAUUGUGUCCACCUAUAACUAAAAAAAUAUAUAUAUAUAUAUAUAUUUAAAAAAAACACACUCUCUCUCUCUCACACACACACGCACACACAAAAAUGUUCCUAUAAUAUUCAUGGAAAAUCUAGAACACUAUCUCUGUAACAAAAAUUCUUCUUUUUGUUUGUAGUAUUAGGGAUUGAACCAACUCUCACUGAAUUACAUCACUAGCCCCUUUUAUUUUUUAUUUUUAAACAGGGUCUUGCUAAAUUGCCCAAGCUGGCCUUGAAUUGUAAUUCUCCUGAGUUGAACUUGUACAAGCUCUCGAGUAGCUAAGAUUGCAGGUGUGUGCCACUAUGCCUACCCACAGAUUCCUAUAUAAUUAAUUUAUUUGUGUGAUUUAAGAUAUGUGCAAUAGUUUAAAUUUUUAUUUGUUCUUUUUAUUUAUACAUGACAGUAGAAUUUAUUUUAACAAGGAUAUGUGAUAUUUUGUACCUUAUGGCAUUAAAUGUUUUUUCUUCACUAUAAUUGAAAAGUAAUAGCAAACAACUUGAUUCUCUGGGAGAGGCACUCUAACUAGAACCCAUCUAUAGUUAAAUUUUAGUUUGACUUUCCAUCACUGGGAAGAAUAUUAAUCUUGACCAAAAAAAGCUGUGCAUGGAACAUGUAUGCUUACUAGUUAGGUUUUUUCCAUUUUCAGAAGCGAACGUUGGAAAAAGGGUAAUGUUAAAUUAUAGGAGAUAAAAUUCUGAACAAUUGCAAAAAUGUUUCUCACCUCUUUGACAUGACAUUUUGAGAAGUUUCCUCAUUUGGAUGUAGUGUUCCAUCUAGCAAAACAAUGUGGGUUUUAAAAAAGCAUUUCAAAGAAAAGUGUUUUUGUCUUUAAAAACUAAUCUACAAAUAUAGUUCUUUAGAGUUUCUGAGUUCCCACCAUGUAUCUUAUUCAGUAUUUGAGAAACCAUAAUUCCUUUGAGGUUAAAAAUAAAAACGCUGCAUAAUACUGAUUUAUAGGAAACACUAUAACUCUCAGUGAUAAAGGUCUCAUCUACUCUCUGGUUAUCAUUCACAUGUUGAUUUUUCUCCUUAAACUGCUAGGACUCACAGAAAGUCAUUGAGAACUGUGUCUUCCUUUGAUUUUUGCAAAUGUUUUAAAAGAUAGAUACUGGGUAUUCAAAUUUUUGGACCAAUGCCACCCCUUUAAAGAAAGUACUUAUUCAUUGAUGAUGUCUGAUCAAGACACUAUCAAUACUGUACAAGUACAUAGUGCAUACUUCUUAAAUUUAUUUUUCUCUUUGGAUGUUUCACUUUUUACUUUUAGUUUUCAUUUUUCUUCUCUGAUAAACUUGAAGCAGAUACUGCAGGAUAAAAGACAGAUAUUUUGGAAAAAGUCAAAUUCUAGACAAGGAUAUUUAAGAGAGAUAAGAUUUACGAUCAUCCUAGAGAACUGUAAUUUCUAUAGUUCCAUAUGACAGAGCAGAUGAUCAUCAACUAAUCAUUGUAGAGAAUGGCUGUUGUCACAUUGUGGUGCUUUGGCCCAGACUUUCUACAUUGACAGAUUUCCUUUUCUUUAGAAAAAAAUCAUUAAAAUAACCUCCUAUCUAAGGGAAAUAAUGGCAUAGAAUAAAGCACUACUUUACCAUUAAAUUGUCGGUAAUAAUAAUAUCUGGUACUUCGACUUCUCAUCCAAUAUAUAAGCUAGCUAGCAAAAAUGAGUAUGUGUGUAUACACAUUUUCCCCUAUUUUGGGUCUUUUAUAUAUGUUUAUAGACAGAAGAAAAAUUUAAAAGUUAUUGGAAUUAUCUGCCUGAGACAAUGUGACUGACAUGCUACAUUGUCGCUAUGAAAGAUGACUGCACAUAGAUUGAUAAUUAGAGACCUUUUUUCACAGAAGUGGUAUCCAUUCAAAUUGAGUCUCUAGGCUGAUUUGCAUCAAGGAUAUAGAGAGCAAAGAACCAUCAACUUCAGAAUUUGUUUGCAUUAAACAUGUCGAGUGAUUCACCUCCCAAGUGAGGGUCUUCAUGCAAAAUAAUGAGUGGAUAACCAAGUCAGAUUAACUCCUCAUGGGCUCUAAUGCUACUCUAAUGUCUGGCAUCCAUUCCAUGUGCUACAAGUCUCUAAAAUCCUAAAGUAAUACAAAUUAAUAUCCCUGAGACUAUAAGGCCAUAGAACCUCAGGAGACAACUUGCCCAUGUGUCAUCUUCCCUGUUUUGAGGGUGACUUCUCAGGUCAACACUGACUUGGAGAUGGAGGCUUUCACAGAGAUUUAAUCAACUUUAAAACUUUAGCAACUUUGGUAUCUCCUGGCUGGUCCUCACUCCUCCUAAUACCACCAGUUGACUCUCUCUCUCCUUGCCACCACAGAGAGGGCAAGAAAGAAAUCAGUGCCCAACAGCUUAUGAUCUUGGGAUGUGGGGGAUUAGGGUGUGAUGUUCUGGAGAGUUCUAUAAAAUCUACUCCAAUAAUACAGUGUUGGUGGCAGAGUGUUCUGGGCAUUUUACAUAUAUAGUCAUUUAAAGGAUAGCAGGAAUGUUCUCUGGUAAUGUAAGUCGUAUGUUUUUGCAAAUGUCUUAUCAAGAAGAUGCAUAAAGUAGGAAAUGUAAACAUAGCCACAUGUGCACUCCUAAUCAUGAGAGUGUGGUGAGUCUUCCAGCACAAUAGAAUACAGGGUUAAACUUAUCCACUGUCAGUCCAUGAUGGCCUCACUGGAUCCACUGUGGAUUGGAUAUCCAGAGUCUUUUUCCAAAACCAGAAGUGUGUAAUAGUGAAACAAAGGGGCCAGAUAUUUUCUCCUCUAAAUCCAGAACUAGAUCAUAGCAAACAUCCCAAAGAAUAAUGAAAACAUCAAUUGAUGGUAUUUUCUAAAUGCACGUUUAGUUUGAGUAAUUGGAAGAGAGGAAUAGAAAUAGUAAUGAAGGAAUUCAUUUCUACUUAAUCUUUGAAAGAUUCAGCUUACCUCAAUUUAAACUUUGUUUUUGUUUUCUCUCUGAAAAUAGUUUAAAAAAAACACAUUAGGACCUAUUUGAAGAAGGAAGAUAUUACACUGCACAUGUUUUAUUAGAAAUAUAAUGUUCCAUAUUAGGCUCAUUAUAUGCCCUAAGAAGACAGCUAUAUAAGUUCUUUUAAUAGGUGUUGACAGUGCAGGCCUUGUGUAUCAUAAGCUGAGUGCUACAUGAAUGUUACUGAUAGCAUAUGAAUUCAAUAAGAAAUUCAAAUAUGUUGUGGCUGUCACUCAGUGCUAGUUGGAAUUUCAGGCUCCUAGUUGAGAGGAAACAACAUAUGUACACUGCCUGCAAAGUUUACCCAAACACAAAAAAGGUGAUUUUUGCUAAGGACACAGCAGAAGCAGAACAUAUAUUUUGAUGGAAGCUGUUGCCUUUUGAAAGGGACCUGAUGGAAGGAACUCAAAUAUGGUCUUAAAUGCUAACAGAUGGGUUAAACACAGGCUAUAUCCAAAUAUUUAUUAUAUGCAUAGAUAGUCAAGAGAUUUGGUGUAUAUGCACAUGUGUGGGCAGUGGAUAUAUAUGGAAUCAGGGAACAUUGACAGAAUUUUGUGUGGAAAAACACUAAGGACACACAUGAUGAAUUAAAAAAGCAUUUGUCUAUCUUGUAAUUAAAUAUGUAUGAAAAUAAGGCAUAGUAAACAUUUGUAAAUACAUGAAUAAAAUUAUAUAUAUAUAUAUACGUACAGAUGUAUGCACACACAGAGACACAUAUCAAACUAAGAAGGGCAAACUCAGGAAAAUUAAUUAUAAAAUUCUGUAUGUCAUGGUACUGUUAUUCUUAUAUGUGCAUCAAAAACCAACUUUUGUUGCUAAUCCUUAUAAAAAGGACAUUUAUUUUGUAUUUUUGCUUACUUAAAUUUAAAGCUGCAAAUAAAUGUAAAAAUCACCAGUAAUCCUAGUAUACGGAGGUAAAAUUCCUAAUAUUUAUAAAGCUAUCUUUCCAAAUCACUUAAAAAAUGUGUACACAUAGAUUUAUCUUCCAAAAAAUCCCUACAUAAUCUUUUUAAAUAUGGUUGUUAAUAAGAAGAAUCUUUCCAUGAUGCUGCAUACACUAACUCUAUUUAAAAUAAGUUGCAAAUGUGUAUCAUUUCAUAUGCAUAUAAGCAUUCCCUCAUAUUUAUAUAUAUACACUGAUCCACUAUUUUUACUAUUUCAAGAUAUUAUGGUGAAUGUUUUUGGGUUGAAGAUUUGUACUUAUAUAAUUAUUUCCUAAGAAUAUUUUUGGACAAUUAAUAUACACAUUUCUUAGAUUCUGAAUACUUUUAGCCUGAUUGCCUUGUGUUAAACUAGUACUAAAUUAUAUAUAUUUUUGGAGUCUCCCACAUUUUCAUUUAAUAGUAUUUGUUAUUAAUGGAUCAUAAACACAAGAAUCAUGAUAAAUCUUUUUCCAUUUACCCUUCCAGUUCUUUGUAACCUUAUAUGGAAGGAGAGUCUCCUUUCUGCUAUAUCCUUGCUGUCUUUUUAAUCCAGCCUGAGCUUUUUCUCAAUUGAAAUAUUUGCUCUACUUAACAGCUCACAAACAGACUUAUUUAUUUUCUAUGUUUAUUUUGUUUCCAUUCUUGUACUUUGAUUUCUAUUAAUAUUUUAAUUUUUUCUGUUAUUUCUACUCUAUGAGCUUCUUAGUUUUAUGUUUACUCUUAUAGUAGUUACCUUGGGUAUUAUUACAUUUUCGACUUGCUACAAGUAUAUGUGAAUUAUCCUAUUCAACACAUCCCAAGAAAUGUAAGCAAUUUGAAUAUUUUUUUUUUGUGUGUGUGUGUGUGUGUGUGGUACUGAGGAUUGAACCCAGGGCCUUAUGCAUGCAAGGCAAGCACUCUACCAACUGAUUUAUAUCCCCAGCCCUUGAAUAUUUUAAUUUAAUUUUUCUCUCACUCUUUUUAAAAAAAAUUGACAUUUUUACUUUUACAUAUUUUAAAUGCUCUAAAAUAUUAUUGUUGUUUUAAACAGUUAAUAUUCAUUUAUAUUUAUUACAUAUUUACCCUUUGUGGUUUUUCAUUUCUUCCUGAAUCUUCCUUAAUCUUUCAUCUAAACAUCAAUUAUAUCUAUGUUGUUAUAAUUCCACAUUAUAUAAUAGCAUGUUCCACAUCAAUAUUAUAAACUUUUCAUUGUUUUCUAUAACUUUCACUUUCAUAUUUUAUUCUAUAUAUUUUCUUCCAGUUCAGCAAUUAACUUUCAAAUAUAUCUAUUGUCUUUGGUUUCAUUAGUUGUAACUUUUAUCUCUAGACAUUCCAUUUGUCUCGAUUUUAUAGUUUCUGGCUCUGAGUUCAAAUUUUACUCUCUUAUUUAAAUUUUUGAAAAUACUAAUCAAAGUUGGUAUAAAGUAUAUAUGUGAUAACUCCAACAUUUUUAUCUCUCUUAAAUCUGUUUUGAAUGUCUUGUUUGCAUCUCAAAUUUGUUAAUUCUUAUCUUUUUUCACUUCUGGAAAUUUUGAAUGAAUGUCUGAUAGUGUGAUAUUAUGUAUGAAAAAGUUUAGAGGUCAUUUGAAGCUGUUGAUGACAAUUUCUUUCUAUAGAGGAAAGUUUGUAUGUAUUUCUGGCAAUUAGCUAGAAUUGCCACAGUAGGUGCCACAAGAACCUAGGUAUUCCUAGUAUUACUUUUUUUGGGGGAUGAAUCUUUUUUAACAUCCCACGAGGCUGCAGAAGGCUCUGCCAGCCUUCUCAGCUAACACCGUCUUUUUCCCCUUUUGGUGCAUGAUAAGCAUCCACUCUGCCUUCGCAUUAUAAGUCCAGUCCCAACUGAGGCUCUGAAAACUGAGAAUGCAUUUGGGGGUGGGGGGAGAUUUUCACAUGAUUUCAUAAAAAAUAUUGUGCCCAAAUUUUCUAAUUAUUCUGGAGUAGUUGAUUUUAAAAUAACUAUUCUGUCACCAUCUGAAGUAAAUACAUAUUUUUAAAAUGCUGAGACCUGUUUGGAUUCUCCUGAGGUCAGCAUCAGACUCUUUCCCCUUCUGUUUUCACUGCAUAAAAUUUAUAGUAAGCAUGAUUUUAAUUUUAAUUACAGUGUAAUUUUUGUCAUAUUUUCAGUGAUAAUGCAUUUUUCUACUUAUACUGAGUUUAAAAUGAGCCUGAUAGCAUCCCUUUUAUAACUAGAACAACUAAACUAUACAGUAAAUGGUAUAAUAUAUCUCUACAAAGUUGUUUCUAAAAUGUGUUUUUUUUUCUAGUUUUUUAAAAAAAAUGUUUAUUUUUUCAAAGAAAAAUAGCAACAGUCAAGUAAAAACCUACUUAUUCUUCAACUCCAAUUUUGUUACUUUUUAAAAAUUUAAAAGUGACUUAUUUACUAUUUUAAAUGCCCCCUCUCCUUUUCCCUUUAAAUGCUUACUACCUGCUCAUACUGAAUCCUUUCAAGGAGGUUGUUCCAGUGUAUAUCUCCAGAUCUUCGCUUUGCUUCUUCAACUAAAAAAUAUAAAACACAAUUCCAUCAUGCAUCGUAUGAGCUCCAAUUGUCACAUAUAGGGGGAACAAACUUUGGAAUAGCCAAUUAAGUUUAAUGAAAAAUAAUCCACAUGCAUUCAGUUUGGUUGGGGCAGGAAUUCACUAAAAUGUAUCUAAAAUGUAUGAAAACCAUAUAUAUUUUUUUGUUUCAACCCAGGAAAAUAUUUCAACUAAUUUCAAUUAUUGCUUUUUUAAAUUUAUUCUUUUUAACUUUCAGACAUUUCUGUUAUCUUUAUCUGUUUUUAUGUCAACUUCAUUUCUAAAAUAUUGUUUCCAAAAUGUUUGCUCUUUUCCUGACAUUCUGUACCAUUAUGUUCUAAACAUUGGGUUUUCUGUACUACCUAGAUGAAUUCUAUUUUAAAUUUAUUUAAGUUCUAAUUAGUUACACAUGACAGUAGAAUGCAUUUUUGACAUAUCAUACAUAAAAGGANACACUUGCCUUUUGGUUUUGGGGGACUUGCUUAAUUUGUUUAGCAUGAUAUUCUCCAGCUCCGUCCAUUUACUGGCAAAUGCCAUAAUUUCAUUCUUCUUUAAGGCUGAGUAAUAUUCCAUUGCGUAUAUAUGCCACAUUUUCUUUAUCCAUUUAUCUACUGAAGGACACUUAGAUUAGUUCCAUAGUUUAGUUAUUAUGAAUUGAGCUGCAAUGAACAUUGAUGUGGCUCUGUCACUCACUGUAGUAUGCUCAUUUUAAGUCCUUUGGAUAUAUGAUGGAGAGGGGGAUAACUGUGUCAAUUGUGGUUCCAGUCAAAGUUUUCUGAGGACUCUCUAUAAUGCUUUCCAUAGUGGUUGCACCAAUUUGCAGUCCUACCAGCAAUGUAUGGAUGUACCUCUCUCCCCACAUCCUCACCAACAUUUAUUGUUACUUGAAUCUUGAUAGUUGCUAUUCUGACUGGAGUGAGAUUAAAUCUCAAUUUAUUACCUAGAUGAAUUUUAUUUUGCUUUACUUUUUUUUUUGUACUAGGGAGUGAAUGCAGGGGAAGUUUACCACUGAGCUACAUCUUUUUUACUUUUUAUUUUCAGAGAAGAUCUUGCUAAGUUGCUUAGGGCCUCAUUAAGUUGCUGAGGCUGGCUUUUUUCUUUCUUUUUAUUUUGUAAUUUGUUCUAAUUAGUUAUACAAGUGAUUGGAAUGCAUUUUGACACAUUGUACAAAUAUGGAGCACAACUUCUCAUUCCUCUGGUGGUAUGGUGAGGCUGGCUUUGAGCUUUAAUCCUGCCUCAGCCUCCCAAAUGGUUGGAAUUAUAGGGGUGUACCACCAUGCUGGACUCUUGGCAUUACUCUUAAAUAAUCCUUACUUAUCCUAAUUUAUUUCAUAUUUCAUGUUGUAAUUUUCUCCAUUUUAGAAAUUUUAAUAUUUUUCAGUUUUAUGUUAUGACACCCCCUCUAUUUAGCCAUAUUAUUUGCUCUUUUUUUUUUUCCUGUAGAUGACGUCUUGCACUCUUAAAGAUGAUCACUGUAGUCUUAUUAAGGAAGUUGGGGUCUAAUCCCACAUGAUAGAGAUUAGGGCUUAUUUUUUCUUCUAUUAGAUGCAGGGUCUCUGGUUUUAUUCUGAAGUCCUUGAUCCAUUUUGGUUUGAGUUUUGUGCAUGGUAAAAGAUAGGGGUUUAAUUUAAUCUUGUUGUAUAUGGAUUUCCAGUUUUCCUAGCACCAUUUGUUGAAGAGGCUAUCUUUUCUCCAAUGCAUGUUCUUGGCACCUUUGUCUAAUCUAAGAUAAUUGUAGUUUUGUGGGUUAGUCUCCGUGUCCUCUAUUCUGUACCAUUGGUCUACCAGUCUGUUUUGUGCCAAUAUCAUGCUAUUUUUGUUACUAUCCCUCUGUAGUAUAGUUUGAGGUCUGGUAUAGUGAUGCCACCUGCUUCACUCUUCCUGCUAAAAAUUGCUUUAGCUAUUCUUGGUCUUUUAUUUUUCCAGAUGAAUUUCAUGAUUGCUUUUUCAAUUUCUAUGAGGAAUGUCAUUGGAAUUCUGAAAGGAAUUGCAUUAAAUCUGUAUAGUGCUUUUGGAAGUAUGGUCAUUUUGAUAAUAUUAAUUCUGCCUAUCCAAGAACAAGGGAGAUCUUUUCAUCUUCUAAGGUCUUCUUUGAUUUCUUCCUUUAGUGUUCUGUACAUUCAUUGUAGAGGUAUUUCACCUCUUUCAUUAGGUUGAUUUCCAAGUAUUUUAUUUAUUUAUUUGUGUGUGUAUGUGUGUGUAUAUAUAUAUAUAUAUAUAUAUAUAUAUAUAUAUGGACCCAACACAAUGCCUUUAAUUUUAUGUGGUGCUGAGAAUCGAACCUAGGUCCUGCCCAUGCUAGGUGAGCACUCUACCACUGAGCCACAAUCCCAGCCCUAUUUAUUUAUUUUUUGAGGCUAUUGAAAAUGGGGUAGUUUUCCUCAUUUCUCUUUCUGAGGAUUUGUCGCUGAUAUACAGAAAUGCCUUUGAUUUAUGGGUGUUGAUUUUAUACCCUGCUACUUUGCUGAAUUCAUUUACUAGUUCUAGAAGUUUUCUGGUGGGACUUUUAGGGUCUUCUAGUUAUAGAAUCAUAUCAUCUGCAAAUAGUGCCAAUUUGAGUUCUUCUUUUCCUAUGUAUGUCCCUUUAAUUUCUUUCAUCUGUCUAAUUGCUCUGGCCAGUGUUUCAAUAAUUAUGUUAAAUAGAAAUGGUAAAAGAGGGCAUCCCUGUCUUGUUGUAGUUUUUAGAGGGAAUGCCUUCAAUUUUUCUCCAUUUAGAAUGAUGUUGGACUGGGGCUUAGCAUAGAUAGCCUUUAUGAUGUUGAGAUAUAUUCCUUUAUCCCUAGUUUUUCUAGUGUUUUGAACAUAAAAAGGGGGCUGUAUUUUAUAAAAUACUUUUUUUGCAACUAGUGAGAUGAUCAUAUGAUUCUUAUCUUUAAGUCUAUUGAUGUGAUGAUUACAUCUAUUGAUUUCUGUAUGUUGAACCAACCUUGCAUCCCUUGGAUGAAUCCCACUUGAUCGUGGUGCAUGAUCUUUUUGAUAUAUUUUUGUAUUCAAUUUGCCAGAAUUUUAUUGAGAAUUUUUACAUCUAUGUUCAUUACAGAUAUUGGUCUGAAAUUUUCAAAUCAAGAAUCAAUAAAUGGGAUGAACUCAAACUAAAAUAUUCUCCUCAGCAAAAGAAAUAAUCUGUGACAUGAAUAGAGUGCCUACUCAUUGGGAACUGCUACAGUCUGGCUGGGCACAAAUCACAAGCCACUGAAACAGGAACAAACUUUAUUUCUGAACUCCACCAGCACACUCCACACAUGCUCCCUGGGAACUCUCCAGAGCCACUCCUCCAGGAACCACCAACCUGAAAUCCCUCCUCCGGCACUUCCCCAACCAAUUCGAACUCUUCAGGAAUCCCCGUGAGAGCUCAACUGGAACUCAACAGGAACUCCGCAAGAACUCAAAAGUCAUCAUCUUAAUGGCUCUCUGGAGUCAACUCUCAACCACUACUUCUGGCAAAAAUGCCAUGCGUCAUCCUGACUCGGCUGUAGCCCUCAACAGGGAAAAUAUCUUUACCCCUCACACAUCAGAAAGAGCACUAAUCUCUAGAGUAUGUAAAUAACUCAAAAAGCUAAACACUAAAAAAAUAAAUAACCCAAUCAAUAAAUGGGCCAAGGACCUGAAAAGACACUUCUCAGAAGAUGAUGUACAAUCAAUCAACAAAUACAUGAAAAAAUGUUCAUCAUUACUAGCAAUUAGAGAAAUGCAAAUCAAAACCACUCUAACAGUUCAUCUCACUUCAGUCAGAAUGGCAGCUAUUAUGCAUACAAACAACAAAAGUGUUGGUGAGGAUGUGGGGAAAAAGGUACACUCAUACACAGCUGGUGGGACUGCUAAUUGGUGCAGCCAAUAUGGAAAGCUGAAUGGAGAUUCCUUGGAAAAUUGAGAAUAGAACCAUCAUUUGACCCAGCUAUCCCUCUCCUCGGUCUAUAUGGACUUAAGAACAGCGUACUACAGGGACACAGGUACCUCAAUGUUUAUAGCAUCACAAUUCACAAUAGCUAAACUGUGGAGCCAACCUAGAUGCUCAUCAGUAGAUGAAUGGAUAAAGAAUAUGUGGUAUAUAUACA
RNAcentral lists this long non-coding RNA (38280 nucleotides) under Marmota monax (woodchuck). The stretch from base 6504 to 6564 matches the Rfam family "tRNA", at positions 6 to 65 of the family's 71-position model. Lineage: Eukaryota; Metazoa; Chordata; Mammalia; Rodentia; Sciuridae. The record is from RNAcentral.